This 440-nucleotide ribosomal RNA is filed under the name uncultured bacterium. Its description in RNAcentral is "partial 16S ribosomal RNA". It matches the Rfam family "Bacterial small subunit ribosomal RNA", at positions 338 to 795 of the family's 1533-position model. The record is from RNAcentral.
CCUACGGGUGGCAGCAGUAGGGAAUAUUGCUCAAUGGGGGAAACCCUGAAGCAGCAACGCCGCGUGGAGGAGGAAGGUUUUCGGAUUGUAAACUCCUUUUGUUAGAGAAGAUAAUGACGGUAUCUAAAGAAUAAGCACAGGCUAACUCCGUGCCAGCAGCCGCGGUAAUACGGAGGGUGCAAGCGUUACUCGGAAUCACUGGGCGUAAAGAGAGCGUAGGCGGGAUAGCAAGUCAGAUGUGAAAGCCUAAGGCUUAACCAUGGAACUGCAUUUGAUACUGUUAUUCUAGAGUAUGGGAGAGGUAGGUGGAAUUCUUGGUGUAGGGGUGAAAUGCGUAGAGAUCAGGAGGAACACUGAUUGCGAAGGCGACCUACUAGGACAUAACUGACGCUGAUGCGCGAAAGCGUGGGGAGCAAACAGGAUUAGAUACCCGAGUAGUC